Molecule: ribosomal RNA, 563 nt
Filed under: uncultured bacterium
Lineage: Bacteria
Description: partial 16S ribosomal RNA
Rfam family: Bacterial small subunit ribosomal RNA
Source: RNAcentral
UGGGGAAUAUUGCACAAUGGGCGAAAGCCUGAUGCAGCAACGCCGCGUGAGUGAUGAAGGCCUUCGGGUUGUAAAGCCCUGUCUUUUGGGACGAUAAUGACGGUACCAAAGGAGGAAGCCACGGCUAACUACGUGCCAGCAGCCGCGGUAAUACGUAGGUGGCAAGCGUUGUCCGGAUUUACUGGGCGUAAAGGAUGCGUAGGCGGAUUUUUAAGUGAGAUGUGAAAUACCCGGGCUUAACUUGGGUGCUGCAUUUCAAACUGGGAAUCUAGAGUGCGGGAGAGGAGAAUGGAAUUCCUAGUGUAGCGGUGAAAUGCGUAGAGAUUAGGAAGAACACCAGUGGCGAAGGCGAUUCUCUGGACCGUAACUGACGCUGAGGCAUGAAAGCGUGGGUAGCAAACAGGAUUAGAUACCCUGGUAGUCCACGCCGUAAACGAUGAGUACUAGGUGUAGGAGGUAUCGACCCCUUCUGUGCCGCAGUUAACACAAUAAGUACUCCGCCUGGGAAGUACGAUCGCAAGAUUAAAACUCAAAUGAAUUGACGGGGUCAUAGCUGUUUUCCU